RNAcentral lists this ribosomal RNA (91 nucleotides) under uncultured archaeon. Its description in RNAcentral is "partial 16S ribosomal RNA". The record is from RNAcentral.
AUAAGGGAACACUGAGUGCUAGCAUUUAUGUUACCUGUCCACAUGUGUAAAUAGCAUGUGAUAGCGAGGGCUGGGCAAGAUCGGUGCCAGC